AAAAAAUUACACAGAGAACCAAAAGUUGGAGAUUAUGUUUUCGUUUAAAUUUGAGAGAAAAAAAGGGAAACGGAAUUUUUAUAUUGCCAAUUUGACUAUGGACGUAAAUAAAGAUACAGAUUUUAAAGGAAAUUUCCUAAGAAGUAUAAAAACAGAGAAAUUUUUCGUAUCCAAUAUCCCCGAUACGGCGUCAAUAUCCAAAAGCUAUAUUAAAACGAUACUACCUGAGCCAACAGUUGGUGCGCAAACAAAACGCCGAAAUGCUAAUUUAUGUUUUGGAGAAAACUUCCAGAGUUUAACUGUUCAAUAACUUUUUAUAUAUAUUUCCACUCUGAGCAUAUUCUUUUCUCUUUAAUUUAUAAUUCGUUUUAAUUGUCUUCAUUCCUCGUAUGACUAAUGUUUACUAAGAAUAAAACCCAUUCAUACUUAACUGUUCUUUAGUGGCCGGAUUGGCCGCGUGGAAACGCUUCGGCUUUCCACUCUGGAGGAUCCGGGUUUGACUCUCGGGUCCCACCC
This 516-nucleotide long non-coding RNA is filed under the name Androctonus crassicauda. Lineage: Eukaryota; Metazoa; Arthropoda; Arachnida; Scorpiones; Buthidae. The record is from RNAcentral.